This 533-nucleotide ribosomal RNA is filed under the name Sycanus sp. 00004024. Its description in RNAcentral is "partial 16S ribosomal RNA". It matches the Rfam family "Bacterial large subunit ribosomal RNA", at positions 1807 to 2612 of the family's 2925-position model. The record is from RNAcentral. Lineage: Eukaryota; Metazoa; Arthropoda; Insecta; Hemiptera; Reduviidae.
UCAAAAACAUGUCCUUUUGUUUAUAAAUAUAAGGUCUGACCUGCCCAAUGAUUUUAUUUAAUGGCCGCGGUAUAUUAACUGUGCUAAGGUAGCAUAAUCAUUUGUCUUUUAAUUGAAGGCUAGAAUGAAUGGUUGGACGAGAUACAAACUUUCUUUAAUUUAUUUUUUGAAUUUAAUUUUUUAGUUAAAAAGCUGAAAUGUGUUUGAGGGACGAGAAGACCCUAUAGAUCUUUAUAUAUUAAUAUUUUAUAUAUUUUAGUGAAUUAAUUGUGAUAAUAUAUUAAUAUAUUUGGUUGGGGCGACUGUGGAAUUUAAAUAACUUCCAUUUUUAUUUGUCAUUAAUUAGUGUUUGAUUGAUCCAUUAUUAUUGAUUAAAAGAUUAAGUUACCUUAGGGAUAACAGCGUAAUUUUUUCGGAGAGUUCUUAUCGAUGAAGGAGUUUGCGACCUCGAUGUUGGAUUAAAAUAAGUUGUAGGUGUAGGAGUUUACAUACUAGGUCUGUUCGACCUUUAAUAUUUUACAUGAUCUGAGUUA